UGAUCCAUUUAGAUGAUGCAUUU
This 23-nucleotide small nuclear RNA is filed under the name Arabidopsis thaliana (thale cress). RNAcentral's name for it is "snRNA_06275". The record is from RNAcentral. Lineage: Eukaryota; Viridiplantae; Streptophyta; Magnoliopsida; Brassicales; Brassicaceae.